This 352-nucleotide unclassified non-coding RNA is filed under the name soil metagenome. RNAcentral's name for it is "partial contains 5.8S ribosomal RNA, internal transcribed spacer 2, and large subunit ribosomal RNA". The stretch from base 1 to 120 matches the Rfam family "5.8S ribosomal RNA", at positions 35 to 154 of the family's 154-position model. The record is from RNAcentral.
GAUGAAGAGCGUAGCGAAAUGCGAUAAGUAAUGUGAAUUGCAGAAUUCAGUGAAUCAUCGAAUCUUUGAACGCACAUUGCGCCCGCCAGUAUUCUGGCGGGCAUGCCUGUUCGAGCGUCAUUACAACCCUCAGGCCCCCGGGCCUGGCGUUGGGGAUCGGCGGAGCCCCCCGUGGGCACACGCCGUCCCCCAAAUACAGUGGCGGUCCCGCCGCAGCUUCCAUCGCGUAGUAGCUAACACCUCGCGACUGGAGAGCGGCGCGGCCACGCCGUAAAACACCCAACUCUUCUGAAGUUGACCUCGAAUCAGGUAGGAAUACCCGCUGAACUUAAGCAUAUCAAUAAGCGGAGGA